GAAAUGCGAUAAUUAAUGUGAAUUGCAGAAUUCAGUGAAUCAUCGAGUCUUUGAACGCACAUUGCGCCCCCUGGUAUUCCGGGGGGCAUGCCUGUCCGAGCGUCAUUGCUGCUCUCAAGCACGGCUUGUGUGUUGGGCUUCCGUCCCUGGCAACGGGGACGGGCCCAAAAGGCAGUGGCGGCACCAUGUCUGGUCCUCGAGCGUAUGGGGCUUUGUCACCCGCUCCCGUAGGUCCAGCUGGCAGCUAGCCUCGCAACCAAUCUUUUUAACCAGGUUGACCUCGGAUCAGGUAGGGAUACCCGCUGAACUUAAGC
RNAcentral lists this unclassified non-coding RNA (314 nucleotides) under plant metagenome. RNAcentral's name for it is "partial contains 5.8S ribosomal RNA, internal transcribed spacer 2, and large subunit ribosomal RNA". The stretch from base 1 to 105 matches the Rfam family "5.8S ribosomal RNA", at positions 50 to 154 of the family's 154-position model. The record is from RNAcentral.